This is a long non-coding RNA of Populus trichocarpa (black cottonwood), 430 nucleotides long. RefSeq lists it as uncharacterized. The record is from RefSeq and is a predicted model, not a curated record. The transcript has 2 exons. Lineage: Eukaryota; Viridiplantae; Streptophyta; Magnoliopsida; Malpighiales; Salicaceae.
UGAUAAAUAUAAAUAGAAAAGAAAAUAGAAGGAGAGAGCUGUGUUUUAAGAGUGAAAAACUGACGGGAGAAGAGAAGAAAAAGGGAAGAAGAAGAAGAGAAAAGAGGAAAAGAUAAAGGAAGGAGAAGAGAGUUGGAGGAAAAUAAGUUUAAAGGUUCUUAGUUUUUGAUAGCAAGUGGACUUUGUUGAGUGUUUCUGCUUCUUCAGUUUUUGAUCGGUAUGCUUUGCUUAUUUUGCAAGGCUUUUUCCUUUUGUUUUGAUUCGAUGUCUUAGGCGCUCCACUGUUACCUUAUGUUAAUUAAGUUUGGAUUUUGACAAUGUAAUGAGUAUUAUGGAUUAUUGUUUUUGUUUUAAUUACUGAUGAGGAGUUUUAAACUAUUUUUUGGUUUCAUCAGUUUUGAAUAAUAUAAUAUUUCUGAAGAUUAUGAAA